This 22-nucleotide small nuclear RNA is filed under the name Arabidopsis thaliana (thale cress). RNAcentral describes it as "snRNA_05007". The record is from RNAcentral. Lineage: Eukaryota; Viridiplantae; Streptophyta; Magnoliopsida; Brassicales; Brassicaceae.
UCUAGAAGAUGUAAGACCUUCU